Small nuclear RNA from Myotis lucifugus (little brown bat), 106 nucleotides. Lineage: Eukaryota; Metazoa; Chordata; Mammalia; Chiroptera; Vespertilionidae. The record is from Ensembl.
GUGCUCACUUCGGCGGCACAUACACUAAAAUUGGAAAGAUACAGAGAAGAUUAGCAUGCCCUUGCGCAAGGAUGACAUGCAAAUUUGUGAAGCUUUCCAUAUUAAA